Molecule: ribosomal RNA, 253 nt
Filed under: uncultured bacterium
Lineage: Bacteria
Description: partial 16S ribosomal RNA
Rfam family: Bacterial small subunit ribosomal RNA
Source: RNAcentral
UACAGAGGUCCCGAGCGUUGCUCGGAAUCACUGGGCGUAAAGGGUGCGUAGGCGGGUCUUUAAGUCAGGGGUGAAAUCCUGGAGCUCAACUCCAGAACUGCCUUUGAUACUGAGGAUCUUGAGUAUGGGAGAGGUGAGUGGAACUGCGAGUGUAGAGGUGAAAUUCGUAGAUAUUCGCAAGAACACCAGUGGCGAAGGCGGCUCACUGGCCCAUUACUGACGCUGAGGCACGAAAGCGUGGGGAGCAAACAGG